CCUACGGGUGGCAGCAGUGAGGAAUAUUGGUCAAUGGGCGGGAGCCUGAACCAGCCAAGCCGCGUGAAGGAAGAAGGCGCCAAGCGUGGUAAACCUCUUUUGUCGGGGAACAAAGGGCGCCACGUGUCGCGUGGUGAGUGUACACGAAGAAAAAGCAUCGGCUAAAACAGUGCCAGCAGCGGCGGUAAUACGGAGGAUGUGAGCGUAAUCGGGGUUUCUUGGGUUAAAAGGGUGGGAAGGCGCUCCGGAAGGUCAGCGGGAAAGACCCGGGGCUAAACCCCGGAGAGCUGUUGAAACUGUGGUGCUAGAGACGGCGAGGAGUACGCGGAAUGCGCGGUGUAGCGGUGAAAUGCGUAGAUAU
Molecule: ribosomal RNA, 361 nt
Filed under: uncultured bacterium
Lineage: Bacteria
Description: partial 16S ribosomal RNA
Rfam family: Bacterial small subunit ribosomal RNA
Source: RNAcentral